Podarcis muralis (Common wall lizard) is the source of this 1164-nucleotide non-coding RNA. NCBI's taxonomy places the organism in Eukaryota, Metazoa, Chordata, Lepidosauria, Squamata, Lacertidae. The record is from RefSeq and is a predicted model, not a curated record.
GGGAGGGGGCGCGCGUCGCCGCGGCAACCGGAGUCAACCGCGGGCGAAUGUUCCAACGGCCAUCUCCUCUCCCACCCGCCAUCGCUCUCUAUCCUCCCGCCGCGCGCGCGCGCCACUUCCCAGUUCAGGGGGCCGUUCCCGCCAUUUGGAGGGGGAGGGGAUGGAAACCCCCAUCAACCCCCGCGCGAUACUUGAGGGGCUUUCCUUCCACCUCCACCCCUUUUUUGCCUUCCGUUUGUGGGGCUGCGCGAGGUGUUAUCGCCUCUCUCAAACUGUGCCUUCGCACCGAGCACCCCUCGCUGUGCCAAAGUCAUCAGGAGAAGCUGCUCUGGCUUGAAAAAAGUGGGGGCAGGCGCUCUUUUUGUGUGACAUUGAUAACCUCUCUCCCCAGUUCCCUAUCGAGUCCGUCCUGCGAGGGACCGUUUUGCUUCGCCAGCCACGUCAUUUUACCACACGUUCACUUUCUGCCGCAGAAAACGCGGUUUGCCUCGCGUUUUACCUCACGUUCUGUGACAUAAUUUUGCUGCACGCAUUUUGCACCUGAUGCGUGUGGUCACCAUCUCCCUCGCCGCUUGGCACAAUGGGAGGGCAAAUUUUGUGACGUGAAAGAUUAGUUUCCUUGUUCCCAUUCAACACCGAAAUGUUCGAAUGUGAUUUAUCCAUUCUGAAAAGUUCCGGUGGAUGAAUGGAAGCUGCUGAAUGGAAUUAGUCAGCCAUCCACCUUCAGAGAUGGUUGAUCUAAGCAAGAGCAAGCUAAGAAUAGUGCCUCUCAUGACUGGUGGUAUUUUUCUACUCCCCAUUACAUUCACUAACCUUGCACAGUAAUCUCAUCUGCAUCAGGACUUCUAGGAGUGCAGCUGUGCUGGUCUUCAACACCCUUGCCGGCAGCAGAAAGCAUAAAAGAGGCCUGAAGAGCUUCUUUAAAGCCAACCCUGCGUACAACAUUAUGCAAGUAAACGAUCUUGUAGCACGGGCGUUGGGUUCCUCCACGGCAAAUGGCAUGUCCUGAGGAAGACCAAAAAGAAAAAGAAAAACCAUUAGCAAACCAGCAGGAAAAGUGCAGAGUCAAGUGUUCUGUUUUAAGAAGUCAACCAUGGAACAUGGAUUUCAGGACAGGAUGUUAUAAACCCCUACGAUGCAAAGUGGUGUUUCUAAAACACAUUU